ACUGUGUGUAUUGUAAGCUUGAGUUCAGUAUGGAGAUGUGGAGGCUCCAGCUGCUUGAUGGGAGUUGGGAGAUGGGCCUGGUCCCACCUGGAGUUGCCAAAGGUUAUUUAAAAGAACAGUGGGCUAGUGGCCAAGGAGGAUCCUUCACUAUUGGUGGUCUUGAGGAACAUAAGGCUGCCAAGUAGGUGAAGCUAAGCAGGAGUGGGUCCGGUAAGUGCCUGGAUGGUGGACCCCAUGGAAGUCAUACAUAUGUCGCCUUGAGAUCCAUGGUGGAAGAGUGAGUGGGGUAUAAAUGUAAGAAAAUGUUUGUAGACUACUGUGCUGUCACUUGGAGAUAGGCUGGAGAAAGGAGGAAGGAGAAAGGAGGAGGAACAUGGGUGAAGAAAGCUCGACUCCUUUCUGUCUGAGGUCUGGGGAAGAUGCGGGUGACACGGUGGUCUAAACCACUGAGCCUCUUGGGCUUGCUUAUCAGAAGGUUGGCGGUUCGAAUCCCCAUGACAGGGUAAGCUCCCGUUGCUCUGUCCCAGCUCUUGCCAACCUAGCAGUUUGAAAGCACACCAGUGCAAGUAGAUAAAUAGGUACCGCUGCAGCAGAAAGGUAAAGGGUGUUUCCAUGCACUCUGAUUUGCAUCACGGUGUCCCAUUGCACCAGUAGUGGUUUAGUCAUGGUGGCCACAUGACCCAGAAAGCUGUCUGUGGACAAACGCCUGCUCCCUCGACCUGAAAAUGAGAUGAGUGCCGCAACCCCAUAGUUGCCUUUGACUGGACUUAACCGUCCAGGGGUCAUUUACUUUUACCUUUACCUAGGGAGGAAGGGCAAGUGCUGACCAGAGCAGGCCCAGACCCUAACCUACCCCACACCCUGAAGCAAUAUGGAGAACUGAAAUGGGCUGUUCAAGAGCUGAAAAGACUAACUAUUAACUAUGAUUUCUUCCAGAUAGUGAAGCACCAUCCGCAUGGCAUCUUUUCAGAAUCAUUAAAAGCACCUUCAUUUAUCA
Molecule: non-coding RNA, 997 nt
Organism: Podarcis lilfordi (Lilford's wall lizard)
Lineage: Eukaryota; Metazoa; Chordata; Lepidosauria; Squamata; Lacertidae
Source: the annotation of a GenBank genome assembly